This 509-nucleotide long non-coding RNA is filed under the name Brassica napus (rape). RNAcentral describes it as "long non-coding RNA (BNAP_LNC008692)". Lineage: Eukaryota; Viridiplantae; Streptophyta; Magnoliopsida; Brassicales; Brassicaceae. The record is from RNAcentral.
GAAACAUUAUGUUCAAUUAUAUUCCUGAGAUAAAAAGAAGUUGAGAGAAUCAAAUGUUCGAAGAUUUAUCAUUUAUUGAGAAAGCAACUAUCAUAAAUAAGCUCCAGGGCAUAAAAUUAUUCAUAGAACAGGACAGGGGUACAAAAUCUUGGUUCAUGUAUGGAACUCGAUAAUCUACACUUUGGCCUAACAAAAGAAAUGAUCAACUCAUGCUGCUGGAGCAUAAUCAUAGAUAACGUCAUCGUCGUCGUCACCGUUUUCUGAAAACACAGCUUGAGCAUACUGAAUUGCUUCAUCAUUGUUAGUAAUGUCGCCUCCAUAGACGUUGUCAUAUGUGCAAAAAAGAAAUUCAGAGACAGAAAACAUAGUUCUUUCUUUAAAUAAAGGACAAAGAAAGUGAAAAUUAUGUGUCAAAGAGCAAAGGAUUGAUGUGAAUUUGAUGAGUUAACGGGAAACGGUUGGACUCUUUAUAGGUGAAACCAAAAGUUAAUUCUGGACUCGUUUCCGUC